RNAcentral lists this ribosomal RNA (402 nucleotides) under Triticum aestivum (bread wheat). RNAcentral describes it as "partial small subunit ribosomal RNA". The record is from RNAcentral. Lineage: Eukaryota; Viridiplantae; Streptophyta; Magnoliopsida; Poales; Poaceae.
AAACCCCUUGAAUGUGUCUUUUGUUUGGAACAUGAAUCGUGCUCCCACCUUUUCUUUGAUUGCAUUGUUACCAAGCACCUUUGGGCCCCUGUUGCUGAUUACUUCAACACUUAGAUUGGCUCUUCUUUUGAAUUUGUAGCUAGAUUCUGGGUUGCUAACAAAAAAUGCUCUGUUCUGAACACUGUUAGCUCAGCUGUUCUGUGUUGUCUCUGGAAAUAUAGAAAUGCUAUGAUUUUUUAUAACACCACUUGGAUUUAUGUUCCUCGGGUCUUGAGAUUGAUCUUGAACACAGUGAGGAACUGGGCGAUCCUCUCCUCGGGGUCAGACAAGGAAAAGUUGAUGACCUUUGUGGGGUUCCUCGCAAAGUCCCUUCAGAAACCUUUGGAGAUCACAAGUGGCUGA